AUUGAACGCUGGCGGCACGCUUAACACAUGCAAGUCGAACGGCAGCAGAAGAAAGCUUGCUUUCUUGCUGGCGAGUGGCGGACGGGUGAGUAAUGCGUAGGAACCUACCCUGAAGAGGGGGAUAACCCGGGGAAACUCGGACUAAAACCGCAUAAUACUUUUCGAAGGAAAGAUGCCUCACACUUAAGCUAUUUUUUAUAAAGAUAGUUUAAGGUGAGGUGUUACUUUAGGAGGGGCCUACGUUGGAUUAGCUUGUUGGUGAGGUAAAGGCUCACCAAGGCAAUGAUCCAUAGCUGUUCUGAGAGGAAGAUCAGCCACAUUGGGACUGAGACACGGCCCAGACUCCUACGGGAGGCAGCAGUGGGGAAUAUUGGACAAUGGGGGAAACCCUGAUCCAGCGAUGCCGCGUGUGUGAAGAAGGCCUGCGGGUUGUAAAGCACUUUUAAUGGGGAGGAAUAGUUCCAUGUUAAUAGCGUGGAGCAGUGACGUUACCCAUAGAAUAAGCACCGGCAAACUCUGUGCCAGCAGCCGCGGUAAUACAGAGGGUGCGAGCGUUAAUCGGAAUGACUGGGCGUAAAGGGCACGUAGGCGGUUGGACAAGUUAGAUGUGAAAUAUCAGGGCUCAACCUUGGUGCUGCAUCUAAAACUGUUCAACUAGAGUUCACUAGAGGGAAGCGGAAUUUCCGGUGUAGCGGUGAAAUGCGUAGAUAUCGGAAGGAACAUCAGUGGCGAAGGCGGCUUUCUGGAGUUGAACUGACGCUAAGGUGCGAAAGCGUGGGGAGCAAACGGGAUUAGAUACCCCGGUAGUCCACGCUGUAAACGAUGAGUACUAGCUGUUGGAAUGCGACGACAUUUUAGUAGCGUAGUUAACGCGAUAAGUACUCCGCCUGGGGAUUACGGCCGCAAGGCUAAAACUCAAAGGAAUUGACGGGGGCCCGCACAAGCGGUGGAACAUGUGGUUUAAUUCGAUGCAACGCGAAGAACCUUACCUACUCUUGACAUCUAUGGAACAUCUGAGAGAUCAGUUGGUGCUGGAAACAGAACCAUAAGACAGGUGCUGCAUGGCUGUCGUCAGCUCGUGUCGUGAGAUGUUGGGUUAAGUCCCGUAACGAGCGCAACCCUUGUCCUUAGUUGCCAGCACAUUAUGGUGGGGACUCUAAGGAGACUGCCGGUGAUAAGCCGGAGGAAGGUGGGGACGACGUCAAGUCAUCAUGGCCUUUAUGAGUAGGGCUACACACGUGUUACAAUGGGCAGUACAGAGGGAGGCCAAGCCGUGAGGUGGAGCGGAACUCAGAAAACUGUUCGUAGUCCGGAUUGAAGUCUGCAAUUCGACUUCAUGAAGUUGGAAUCGCUAGUAAUCGCGAAUCAGAACGUCGCGGUGAAUACGUUCCCGGGCCUUGUACACACCGCCCGUCACACCAUGGGAGUGGGUUGCAAAAGAAGUGGGUAGCUUAACAUUGGGCGCUCACCACUUUGUGAUUCAUGACUGGGGUG
Molecule: ribosomal RNA, 1494 nt
Filed under: uncultured bacterium
Lineage: Bacteria
Description: bacterial SSU rRNA
Rfam family: Bacterial small subunit ribosomal RNA
Source: RNAcentral